UGAAUCUAACACAGGGCUGUAGAUUAAUCACAGUUAAUUUACGUGAUUAACUCAAAAAAAUUAAUUGGGAUUAAUCGCAGUUUUCAUCACACUUAAACAAUAGAAUACCAAUUGAAAUGUAUUAAAUAUUUUUGGAUGUUUUUCUACAUUUUCAAAUAUAUUCAUUUCAAUUACAACACAGAUUACAAAGUGUACACUCUUCACUUUAUA
Long non-coding RNA from Dermochelys coriacea (leatherback sea turtle), 210 nucleotides. RefSeq lists it as uncharacterized. The transcript is spliced from 3 exons. The record is from RefSeq and is a predicted model, not a curated record. Lineage: Eukaryota; Metazoa; Chordata; Testudines; Dermochelyidae.